This is a long non-coding RNA of Phyllostomus discolor (pale spear-nosed bat), 973 nucleotides long. RefSeq lists it as uncharacterized. Lineage: Eukaryota; Metazoa; Chordata; Mammalia; Chiroptera; Phyllostomidae. The transcript is spliced from 2 exons. The record is from RefSeq and is a predicted model, not a curated record.
UCAGCCACUCUUCAGGUUUUUUCUGGGAAGGAAAGUAGUGACCAUAAAACAAAACAAAAAGGGGGAGAGGUCACAAGGUGUUACUUGAGAGGGAAAAUCAGUAUUUUCGUUGCACCUACUAUUUUGCAUAAUUAUAUCAGAACUCUGCUUUCCCCCAUCACUGACAGUGUGAAUCAAAUAUGAGUCAACUAUUUGAAAGAGAGAGGCAAGUGAUUUGAUUUUCAAAAUGCACAUACACACAUACCUCUCAAAGCAGGGACAAACUCCUUCAACAAUAGCUUUUGUUUUCUCAAAGCUGAAAGUAUGGGGGCAGGUAAGCAGUCUGCUUCGGCAGUUCAUCCACCACAGCUAUGGCAAACAGAUUCCAAGGAAAUAGUGUGACCAUAUAGACACUGGGAAAAGGUCAGGAUGCCAACCUUGAGGGCUACUGGCAAUGAAGAGAACUCUACAAAAAGUUAACUUUUGUUAGAAGGGAAGAUCUCCUUAAACAACAGCCCUCAAACUGCAUCAGCAGAGGCAAAACUCAUUAGAAACAAAUGAAUAAAAACUGCACCUUUUGUUCCCACUCCGAAGUACUACAUCUGAAUAUCCGAUGACUCCAGAAUGCCAUUCUUCCUCCACAUCAUAGAUGCUUUAGAGAAUCUAGUUGAGCAUACAAGGUAUUUUAAUACUGUAAAGGUCUAAACAUUCAGGUUAGAAUGAUACAGGUGUGAAAGCUAAAUAACUAAUUGGAAAUGUCUGAUGACCUGAACCAGAAAAGAGCUCAGUCUCUCAUCUGGAUUCAAAUAGCUUUCUAAUGGAAAACUCUCCUCUAAACAAGAUGUUGGUGAUUCCAGUUGUUACAGGUGUUGAUCUCCAAAGCUAUCCAGAAGAUGAUGCCUGAAGCCUGUACCUUCUAUGACAGGCCAGUAUGGAAAAUGACAAGUUCAAAGCAGAGACUUCUAAACAAUUCCUAAGUUACCCUGUUACAGGU